UACGAAGGGGGCUAGCGUUGCUCGGAAUCACUGGGCGUAAAGCGCACGUAGGCGGACUCUUAAGUCGGUGGUGAAAUCCUGGAGCUCAACUCCAGAACCGCCUUUGAUACUAAGGAGCUUGAGUCCGGGAGAGGUGAGUGGAACUGCGAGUGUAGAGGUGAAAUUCGUAGAUAUUCGCAAGAACACCAGUGGCGAAGGCGGCUCACUGGCCCGGUACUGACGCUGAGGUGCGAAAGCGUGGGGAGCAAACAGG
Molecule: ribosomal RNA, 253 nt
Filed under: uncultured bacterium
Lineage: Bacteria
Description: partial 16S ribosomal RNA
Rfam family: Bacterial small subunit ribosomal RNA
Source: RNAcentral